RNAcentral lists this long non-coding RNA (413 nucleotides) under Bos indicus x Bos taurus (hybrid cattle). RNAcentral's name for it is "lncRNA (ENSBIXG00005025236.1)". Lineage: Eukaryota; Metazoa; Chordata; Mammalia; Artiodactyla; Bovidae. The record is from RNAcentral.
GGGAGUAAAGCUGCUGAUCAGGUGUAAUUAAGUAAGGAGAUUAGCUUGACUCAUCCAGGUGGACCCAAUGUAAUUACAAGGAUACUUAAAUGUAGAAGAUGGAGGCAGAAGGGUUAGUAUCAAAGUGAGGUGCUUCCUGAGAGAUUUGAGUUGCCGUUUCUGGCUUUCAGGUUGGGGCAAGAAGCCACAAGACAAAAACAAUGGGUAGCAAGGAAGCAGAUUCUCCUCAGAACCUCCAAAAGAAGUGCCUUAAUACUUCUGACUUCAGAAAGAUAAGCAAGAAGAUACAGAUUUCUGAUUUUCCCCCCAUGGUUGAAAUGUCAGUGGGAAGAUUUCCCUGAAUGUACGGCUUGGUUGGACUACAGAAGAGAGCCCACCAUCUUUCCUCUCCCUUCUGCGUCCUCAGUAUUGGC